GGAAUCACACGAAACCGGUUUGGUUUGUUAAUGAGCACAACUCAAUGCGCUAGUGGGAUACCGAGUUUGGUGCCUUUCCACUUUGAUAUUCUCAGCUUUUAACUGAUCGGUGAACGCUCAGUUGCGUUCGAAAAGAAACCACGAUCGGUCCGCUUAGUGGAUAGAUGAAUCAUCGAAUUUGUCUGUAACUCAGUUCAGAAGUUUAAUCUUGAAAUGUGAUGUUCUGCAAUUUUUUAGGAUGCAGUUUUUCCUAUAAUUUGCACCAUGAACGCUAUAAAUCCAGCUCCCAUGUUUACAGCGUAACAGUAGUAGGAAUAUAGCUUCCUUGGUGAAAAUUGUAGGGAAACACCACCUCGAAAGUUAGUCGAACAUCACAUUUUAAUACUAGGGGGAUUCACCGCUGCGUAAAUUAAAAUUAUUUGCGUAUUGAUUUUUUUUUUCAUGAAAUUGCGAAUAAAAUAAUCAAAUCCUUGUAGAUCGUGUUGUUUACACCGAAGAUCAUUUACGCUGCGACUCACGCUGUUCAGUUUAUCUCCCUAUGAAGCUUCUGAAAUGAGUUAUUGAUAACAGAGUCAAACGGUGGCCACGUGGUUUAUAACAUUUUUGCGCGAAGUUUAGAAGUUUUCACGGUAAUCGGUUGGUCGGAGUAAGGAAGUCGUCGGUAGUUAUCGAAAAGUGUCAGUGUCGCGAUCGAUUCGCCCAUCACUAUCCGAUUUUUGUUUAAUGGAACAGUGCAUUUCCCGUACAAAAUACGAAAAGAAAAAAAUAUACAGUCGGGUUUCCUAUUAAACGCUGCCACUAACUUUACGUCCACCUUGUAUUCUAGGCUGUCUUAUAACCAAUAUAGUUCAUUUUUUGAAUGUGAUGAGUCUAUAGUAAGCACUAACUGUGCUAAUGGAAUGGAUGUCAGAAAGCUGAGAAGUUGCGGUGGGCGUUAAGUGGGUGGCAGCGUCUAAUGGGAGACUCGACUGUACUUGAAAACGAUUUGUUGGAUUCAAAAGAUGUCUUCGAAGGUUUGUGAGGAUAUUUAAAGUACUGUUAGAAAAAAAAAUACACUAUCAGAAAAGAGUCAACAAUUUCUCAGCUACGGAAUUUUCAUACCGUCUCAAAUAACAUUAAAUAAGGUUAAAAAUUUAUUUAUUUAUUUGCGAUUUGCGAAAUGCCAUCAUACAUCUUCGAUGACAUCAUUUCAAUCCGAUAAACCGUUGUCGAGUUAUAGUUUUUUGAAGAAGAAAAUUAUGUUUGUGCAUAUGUCCUUUUCAAAAGUUAGGUAAAGAAUAUUGCAAAAAUACAACACGAAAAACAUUUUCCGAUAGAAGCUUAUUCGUGAACAAUAUGCCAUUUGAAAUGGAAAAGGCCGCAUGUGCACACGAAUUGCAUGCUCAACAGAAACCACGUCAUCGACCGACAUAGCGGUAGUCAUUCCAGGGAUGUACACGAAAAAAGUUGACACCCUCUCGUUUGUUUUACAAUCUUUUCAAGGUAACAAACUUGAUCCUGUACCAUGUGAUUCAAAAAUGAACGAGGGAUGCCAACUUUUUUCGUAUACAACCCUGCAUUUGAGGCCAUGGAAUAGCCACAUUAUCGUUGUCGCGUUCGUCGCAAUAAAAUCAUCGCUGGUCGGAGAUGAUCAUUACCCGAGGUGCCCACUCCCUCCUUCGGUAACAUGAUCUUCUCUCGCUCGGAUCCGGUUAUGUAAAAAUUUUGGAUUCCGGAUUGGAUCAUUAACGUUUUUGUCGUCGUUUGGGGAACAUGGUCCAAAACGCCAACGUGGAAUAAAACAACGCAGUACUCGGCCCAAAUGUAUUAUUAUCACAGUCGAAUUUUGCACAUGCACAUCCCAAGUAACCACAAGCAUUAUAUCAUAACAUUAAAGACGAACGGGACGAUCGAGGAAAUAUCAACCAUUGCUCUGUAGCUACUAAGAUGGUAAUAUCAGAUUAAACUUUAUAUUUUGCAACAAAAACUUAUCAUUGUGAAUGCGCACUUGCAGUGUGUAUGCUGAUUGUUUUUCAGCAUCUUCAGUGCGAUAGAACUCGAGACUACCAUCUUCAAAAUCACGAGGCAAAUUAUUAGAAAGAGAGGCAAGAUAGGAAAAAUAACACGGCGUCUCGUUUCACCUUAAUUCAAUCGUAUAAUAGUUUAGCUAAUGCAAGAUAACUUUUAUUUUACAUCUGUCAAGUAAUAAAGCGUAUAAUCUACAUUAUGAAAGCAUUGAAGCAUUACGAGAUUUUGACAGUUCUGUAAAGUUCUAUAGGGCCGUUGUUUAAUUCUUCAUUGCAUUACCAUGUUAAAAGCUUUAUAGUAAUCAAUAAUGCAAGCAUUUAUUACUUUAUAUUAGCCUUUACUAAAGCUUCCAUCGUUGUAAACAGAAAAAUACGGCAGCCUAUUUAUUGCACCCAUAAACAAAUAGAAACGCUCCAUAGAAAAUCAUAAAUUGCUCCAUAAAGAAAGAACAUAUGUUCCAUGAAAAUGUGAAAUGUUACUCAUAAAUAAUUGAAAACGUUCCAUACUUUAUAAAAAAUGUACCGGUAAAACAAAAAAAAUUUUCAUUAAAAGUGAAAUUUUGCACCAAUAAAUAAUACUGAAAUGCUCCAUAAUAAAAUACAAAUGCUCCAUAGAAAAAUGCAAACGCUCCAUAAAAAAUUGAAAUUGUACCCAUAGAAAAUUGAAUAUUGCUCCAUAGAAAAAUUAAAUUGCACCAUAAAAAAAUUUAAAUUGCACCAUAGGAAAUAGAUGAAUUCUCUAUAAGUAUUAUCAAACUGCACCAUAGAAAAUAUGAAUUGCUCCAUGAAAAAUUGAAAAUCCUCCAUAGAUAGCAUAUUGUUAUAAUUUAAUUCGGCAGGGCUGAAUUGCUUUACAUUGCACUGCUUUAGUGGUGCAAAUGUUUAAAGUUAUGGAGAAUUUUCAACUUUUCAUGGAGCAAAUUGUAUUUUAUGUGGUGCAGUUUGCUAAUACUUAUGGAGCAUUCAUAUAUUUUUUAUGGUGCAAUUUCUACUUUUUAUGGUGCAAUUUAAUUUUUCUUUGGAGCAAUAUUCAAUUUUCUAUGGAUACAAUUUCAAUUUUUUAUGGAGCGUUUGCAUUUUUCUAUGGAGCAUUUGUAUUUUAUUAUGGAGCAUUUCAGUAUUAUUUAUUGGUGCAAAAUUUCACUUGUAAUGAGAUUUUUUGUUUUACCGGUACAUUUUUUAUAAAGUAUGGAACGUUUUCAAUUAUUUAUGGGUAAUAUUUCACAUUUUCAUGGAACAUAUGUUCAUUCUUUAUGGAGCGCUUUUUGAUUUUCUAUGGAGCAUUUGCAAUUUGUUAUGGUUGCAUUAACCUUUUGCCGAAGAAUACCCCUCAGUUCGAAAAAAAAAUGUAAAUCAUUUUUAGAAACAGAACCAUUCAGAACAAAAGAUAAACAAAUCAAAAUUUCAUGGAUUGCUGCGUAGCACUUAGAUUAUCAUGCUCAGAUGUUGCUGUUUGAAAAUUUAUAUUAUGUAUGGUUUUUGUGGUUUCUGGUUACGAUAUGAAAACAAUCAGAUGCAGAGGGAACUCAAAUUAUGUGGGGUAUUGGUUUGGGGCCGUUCAUAUACCACGUGGACAGCUUGGAGAGGGGAGUGGGUUAGCAAAAAGUCCACGCUUGUCCAUGGGGAGGAGGGUGGGGGGUUCGUCAAAUGUCCACAUGGACAACAUUGACAUAGAAUUUAGAAAACAAGAAUCUACAAACGAAACAAAUUAUAUCGCAUUAUUGAUAAGGUUCUUUCAUACAUUUUAUUUUAUUAUACAUUGUCUUUUGAUUGUAAGUUGCUUCUUCAAGGAAAUAAAUCAUGGUAUUGGUUCACGGACUAAUUAUUUUAAAUUAUCAGAAUUUCUAAUUACUUAGUUUCUUUCAUCGAAGAAUAUUUUGGAGAUUUCAAAUCGAGUGUAGACCAUGCAAAUGUUGGUGUUUCAGUCAGAAAAAUUUCAUUGAAGUUCAGUAUGGAUUUCUCUAAGUUUCAUAUCAAAUUUUUAAACUAUGUAUGUACUUCAAAGUUUCAAAAUACAUGUAGGGAUUUGCAGGCUUAUCUCAAAAACUUUGAGAUGUUUCUAAUGGAUACAUAUUAAAGUCUAAAAUUCAGCAAUACAAUUUAGUUUUUUUUGUAAGAAUCUAAGAAAUAUAAUCUUAUCUCAACAAAAAUCUAAGAUUUAAAAUUACCUUAUCUCAACAAAACAAUUAGACAAUCAUAUAUUGAACAAACAUAAUAAAAAACACCGUCUUCAACCAGAAGCUGUACAGACUGAACAUUGAACAAUCACUAAUAUUAGGCGAUGGACAUCACACGAAGCACACCUAGUGAAGAAAGUGAAGAAAGUGACGAAAAUGUUUCACCAACUGGAGCGGGAAUCGAACCCAUACACUCACAAACAUUAAGUUGAAUUAAAAACAAUGUUGAAAACUUGUAGGUACCUAUUUUGGCCUAUUUGUUUGUAUUCUAUGUAAAGCUAUAGAAUGUUUGUAUUUUAUAAAGUUUUCUAUUAUCUUUAAGAAUCUAUUUACGAAAAAAAUAAUUUGUUUACGAAGAAAAGAAAAACAAUAUAAAUAAAAAAAACUUCAAAAUUAC
Aedes albopictus (Asian tiger mosquito) is the source of this 4580-nucleotide long non-coding RNA. RefSeq lists it as uncharacterized. NCBI's taxonomy places the organism in Eukaryota, Metazoa, Arthropoda, Insecta, Diptera, Culicidae. The record is from RefSeq and is a predicted model, not a curated record. The transcript has 3 exons.